AUUGAACGCUGGCGGCAGGCCUAACACAUGCAAGUCGAGCGGAUGAAGGGAGCUUGCUCCUGGAUUCAGCGGCGGACGGGUGAGUAAUGCCUAGGAAUCUGCCUGGUAGUGGGGGAUAACGUCCGGAAACGGGCCCUAAUACCGCAUACGUCCUGAGGGAGAAAGUGGGGGAUCUUCGGACCUCACGCUAUCUGAUGAGCCUAGGUCGGAUUAGCUAGUUGGUGGGGUAAAGGCCUACCAAGGCAACGAUCCGUAACUGGUCUGAGAGGAUGAUCAGUCACACUGGAACUGAGACACGGUCCAGACUACUACGGGAGGCAGCAGUGGGGAAUAUUGGACAAUGGGCGAAAGCCUGAUCCAGCCAUGCCGCGUGUGUGAAGAAGGUCUUCGGAUUGUAAAGCACUUUAAGUUGGGAGGAAGGGAAGUAAGUUAAUACCUUGCUGUUUUGACGUUACCAACAGAAUAAGCACCGGCUAACUUCGUG
Molecule: ribosomal RNA, 484 nt
Filed under: uncultured bacterium
Lineage: Bacteria
Description: partial 16S ribosomal RNA
Rfam family: Bacterial small subunit ribosomal RNA
Source: RNAcentral